RNAcentral lists this ribosomal RNA (480 nucleotides) under uncultured bacterium. RNAcentral describes it as "bacterial SSU rRNA". It matches the Rfam family "Bacterial small subunit ribosomal RNA", at positions 29 to 524 of the family's 1533-position model. The record is from RNAcentral.
AUUGAACGCUGGCGGCAUGCCUUACACAUGCAAGUCGAACGGCAGCACGGGAGCUUGCUCCUGGUGGCGAGUGGCGAACGGGUGAGUAACAUAUCGGAACGUACCCAGUCGUGGGGGAUAACUAUCCGAAAGGAUAGCUAAUACCGCAUACGUCCUGAGGGAGAAAGCGGGGGAUCGCAAGACCUCGCGCGAUUGGAGCGGCCGAUAUCGGAUUAGCUAGUUGGUGGGUAAAGGCUCACCAAGGCGACGAUCCGUAGCGGGUCUGAGAGGACGACCCGCCACACUGGAACUGAGACACGGUCCAGACUCCUACGGGAGGCAGCAGUGGGGAAUUUUGUGCAAUGGGGGAAACCCUGACACAGCGACACCGCGUGAGUGAAGAAGCCUUUUGGGGUGUAAAACUCUGUCGGCAGGGACGAAAAAAAUGACGGUACCUGCAGAGGAAGCAUCGGCUAACUACGUGCCAGCAGCCGCGGUAAU